Cataglyphis hispanica is the source of this 916-nucleotide long non-coding RNA. RefSeq lists it as uncharacterized. The record is from RefSeq and is a predicted model, not a curated record. NCBI's taxonomy places the organism in Eukaryota, Metazoa, Arthropoda, Insecta, Hymenoptera, Formicidae. The transcript has 3 exons.
UUAUCCUUUGUCCCGACACGACGCAACGCUGCGUGUGUUCCUCUCGCGAAAAUACAUCGCCGCGCCGCGCCGCGCCGAGAUGCGAGAUAAAAGGUAUAAGUUUCGCGUGAGGUAGCCUGUACGAUAAGAGGCGGACGGGCGAUAAGGACUACGCUCGGCAGACGUACGCACAACGACGAGGCGGUAGAGAGCUGAUUCCUCGAUGUGAUUCCUCGACACGAUCUCCUCUUAAGAGACCUAGUUCUGUCGUCACAGAGUCACGGUCGUCGAAGCGCAUUGUCAUUUUAUCGACACUUGGAGAGUUUUUAAUCACGAAACUACGCGCGUCAAAUCUCAGAUAGCUCCGUCAUCGUACGCCUUAAAGAGCAAGGACAACAGUGACAGUUAUCUCUCGGAAAGAUAUUCGCUCUCGGCCGGAAUUGCGAAGCGAAAUUGUAACGAGGGGCAAAACGAACGAGAGCGAUAAGCCGGCAAUUAAUUAUUCGGGGCAAUAAUCCGCUGCCGAUGAAGAAUUGUCAGGUGGAAAGUCAACUUGAUGCUGGUGCCACGUAUCAAGAUUAAUAAUUCGUUUCGAAUAAUAAAGAAGCGAGAAAUAAUUCAUCCCUUUUUUCAAAUGAAAAUUAUAAUAUCCAUAAUGAUUAUAAUAAUUAUAAAGAGAGAAUAGAAUAAUUAAAAUUAUUUUAAUUAUUGUAAAAAUCUUUCUUUUCGCGAAUUACUAAAAUUUUCACAAUUAUAGUUACAAUGAUGUGUAAAAUUUGCAUAAUCCCGCGUGGAAGCUGUUCUUUUUAUUAAAAUUUGUUCGAAUAUUAAACAAAAAUUCCGGAAAAUGUUUACAAUUCCCAUCGUUUUCCCGCAAUCACUUCAUCAUCAGCGAUCAAACAAAAUAUCGAAAAAUCAUCAUCGCGAGUUCGUUCAA